ACGAACACAGGAAGACCACAGGAAAGACCGUGUAGAAAGAACCUCCUUCCCCAUCCUCCAUCAAAGCCCUGUGUCCCCCAGAGAGGUGUCACAAACAAACACGUGCUGAACAAAAGAGGGCGCAGGAAGGGCUGGUGUUGGAAGGGGCCCCAGGAGCACGAGCAGCAGGUGCUAAUGGGGCAGGCUUCUUCGACACAAGGAGGUGGAGGUGGCCGUGUCCAGGAGGACCUGCUGACCGCCAGGUACUGUUGGUUCACAAACCGAAGCACGCAGGUGGAUACCCACAGACCCCAGGCCCUGUGCUGGGCAGUUUCACAGUUACUCAGUCACUGCCACUGCUCUCCGAGAAUUCUGAGGUGUGUACCAAUACCUUGGGGUUCAAGCUCUUACUACUCAGAUCAUGCAUUCUAUCG
Molecule: long non-coding RNA, 413 nt
Organism: Fukomys damarensis (Damara mole-rat)
Lineage: Eukaryota; Metazoa; Chordata; Mammalia; Rodentia; Bathyergidae
Exons: 3
Source: RefSeq, a predicted model, not a curated record